UCAUCACCAUCAUCCCUGAUUCUUCUUUCAGGCGUUUGGUGUUGCUUGGAAGAUAGGCCUCUUCCGAGUCAAGUACGGUAAAACAAUGACGACCCCUCGGAAGGAUACUUUCGAGGGGUUUAUUUU
Molecule: non-coding RNA, 126 nt
Organism: Chelonobacter oris
Lineage: Bacteria; Pseudomonadati; Pseudomonadota; Gammaproteobacteria; Pasteurellales; Pasteurellaceae
Source: Rfam